UUAAAUUGCAGUUUCAAUGUAGAUGUGCCAUAUGUUAUUGUAUAUAGACAAAACCUAUAGCUAACAUGCAGUCAGCAUGCAUGCAGUUAUUGCUAGGUUGCUUUAUAUAUCUGCGUUUUAUGGUCAAAACUAUUACGUGCAUAAACUGUUACUUAUAAAUAAAAAUAACUGUGGACAUUGCCAUAAUUAUAGCUAUAUAUUCACAGUCACUUACUGUUCUAGACUUUGGCGACACUAGUUGCAUAUCCAUUGUAUCACAUGAUUUAAAUUCAAACUAUACAUAUUGUAAUUAUAUAUAUCUAAUUGUAUAAUUGUAAUAGUCCUCGGUAUCAAAAUGGGUGAACAAGAAAGGCUAUCCACAAGCUCUGGAAGAGUCUAUAGCAAAGAACGGUCGUCCCCAGAGGCAGCUGUGUGGUACUGUCUGAACAACUACUGCUAUGACAAUGCUGUGUUACCGGCUGAGAGACUGCAUACUGAAGCCAAUUCUCGAAGGCCGCGGUGUGCUUGAUCAUUAUCAUCAGAACAGUGUCCUGUCUUGCAGAAGAUGCAAAAUAUCUCACAGUUGUUUUCUAAAAGGUUACAUUCAUCCCACUCCUCCGGAUGUUCAGCAUAGUGCUUAGCAGUGGCUACUACUUGGUGGGCUGGUAAGCUAUAGCUUGUAUGUGUUGACGUUCCUGCCUGUGCUUGGCCAUCACUAACUCUGUACACAACCAAUCGCAACGAAGCUCCAUCCAGAAACUGAUCAAGAGACGAUCGAGUUAUCUUUGCUGUAAAUUUUGUUUUCUGCUCCUUCUGGCCAGUAAAGUGAAUUACAAUCGGUGUUCCAGCAGUAGUGCCCACGUAGAUACCAUGGUGCUGGUAUAUAGAAGCCAAACAAUAUGUAUAGGCAUAGAUAUGAUCCCCUACUUUCAAGUCUUUUUCCUGAAUCGAAUGAAACUGGCAACCAACUCUGUAUUGUGAAUCAUCAGUAGGAAAAUUGUGGACACUUGAUCUGUCUUCCAUUGCUCUGACGUUUUUGCUAGACAUAAUAAUUAUAGCUAAGGUUAAUGUUUCAACCUAAACUGUUCAUUAAUUUUGCUCAUUACUCAUGCAGAAUGUGAACAUCUGUAAACAUUGUUUUCUCUGCUGAUCAUUAACAUAAAAUUAUGUCUGUUCUACACAUGUACUAUUAACGUACAUAUGUACAUAAUACAUAUCGGAAAGUGGUGGACAUGCGAGGGCACUUCCCUGGGACAGUCCCCACUAUGUCAAACAACAUGUCAGUUUAACCCGAAUUAGUAA
Halichondria panicea is the source of this 1281-nucleotide long non-coding RNA. RefSeq lists it as uncharacterized. The transcript has 3 exons. The record is from RefSeq and is a predicted model, not a curated record. NCBI's taxonomy places the organism in Eukaryota, Metazoa, Porifera, Demospongiae, Suberitida, Halichondriidae.